Molecule: long non-coding RNA, 601 nt
Organism: Sarcophilus harrisii (Tasmanian devil)
Lineage: Eukaryota; Metazoa; Chordata; Mammalia; Dasyuromorphia; Dasyuridae
Exons: 2
Source: RefSeq, a predicted model, not a curated record
GGUUACUAGUGGUAUCACAAUAACAAAACUGCUAUUAAGUCACAAUCAAAUGCUACUGUCCUGUUACUGGUACAAAAGAUAUCCUAAAAAGGUAGAAUUUUACUGAGUUCAGAAGAAAACUUAAAAAGCAAGAAUCACAAAGUGGGAGAACCUUUCAGGACUAAUGGAAAGGCAGCACUACUGCAGAGAAUGGGAGGUGGAGUAUGAUGUAUGAAGAAGGACAAAAAGGACAGUGUAGUUGGGAAAGGGGCAGAGUAGAGCAUAAGAAAGAGCGAAGGAUCAAGCAUGAGGUCAAAGUUAUGAACCUUGAAGGAUGGAGGAAUGAUGAUUUUCAAAACCAUGGAAGCUGACAAAGUGACUGAAAGAAGAUCUUGAAGGAGUCCAGGAAUGUCUUAAAAGGUAUGCUCAUAGUUAGUACUGAGUGAUGAACCAGCAAAGGUAGAAAGAAGAGCUGGUUAGAAAAAGACAAAACCAGGAGAAAAUAUUUCCUAAUACCCCACAAACAAAACAAACCAAAACAAACAAACAAAAAAACAGAAGAGAUAAAACCCAGGUAGUUAAUAGCAUUAAUGUAGCAGAAUGGUCAAGAAGAAUGAGAACU